Molecule: ribosomal RNA, 255 nt
Filed under: uncultured bacterium
Lineage: Bacteria
Description: partial 16S ribosomal RNA
Rfam family: Bacterial small subunit ribosomal RNA
Source: RNAcentral
GACGAACCGAGCGAACGUUGUUCGGAAUCACUGGGCUUAAAGGGCGCGUAGGCGGGCUGCCAAGUUUGGGGUGAAAUCCUCCGGCUCAACCGGAGCAGUGCCUCGAAUACUGGCGGUGCUCGAGGGAGGUAGGGGCGUGCGGAACUGUGGGUGGAGCGGUGAAAUGCGUUGAUAUCCACAGGAACUCCGGUGGCGAAGGCGGCACGCUGGACCUUUUCUGACGGCUGAGGCGCGAAAGCCAGGGGAGCGAACGGG